RNAcentral lists this ribosomal RNA (464 nucleotides) under Bacillus subtilis. Its description in RNAcentral is "bacterial SSU rRNA". It matches the Rfam family "Bacterial small subunit ribosomal RNA", at positions 76 to 525 of the family's 1533-position model. The record is from RNAcentral. Lineage: Bacteria; Bacillati; Bacillota; Bacilli; Caryophanales; Bacillaceae.
GGGACUGCUCCUGAUGUUAGCGGCGGACGGGUGAGUAACACGUGGGUAACCUGCCUGUAAGACUGGGAUAACUCCGGGAAACCGGGGCUAAUACCGGAUGGUUGUUUGAACCGCAUGGUUCAAACAUAAAAGGUGGCUUCGGCUACCACUUACAGAUGGACCCGCGGCGCAUUAGCUAGUUGGUGAGGUAACGGCUCACCAAGGCAACGAUGCGUAGCCGACCUGAGAGGGUGAUCGGCCACACUGGGACUGAGACACGGCCCAGACUCCUACGGGAGGCAGCAGUAGGGAAUCUUCCGCAAUGGACGAAAGUCUGACGGAGCAACGCCGCGUGAGUGAUGAAGGUUUUCGGAUCGUAAAGCUCUGUUGUUAGGGAAGAACAAGUACCGUUCGAAUAGGGCGGUACCUUGACGGUACCUAACCAGAAAGCCACGGCUAACUACGUGCCAGCAGCCGCGGUAAUA